Molecule: ribosomal RNA, 497 nt
Filed under: uncultured bacterium
Lineage: Bacteria
Description: partial 16S ribosomal RNA
Rfam family: Bacterial small subunit ribosomal RNA
Source: RNAcentral
GAUGAACGCUGGCGGCGUGCCUAAUACAUGCAAGUCGAGCGAACAGACGAGGAGCUUGCUCCUCUGAUGUUAGCGGCGGACGGGUGAGUAACACGUGGAUAACCUACCUAUAAGACUGGGAUAACUUCGGGAAACCGUAGCUAAUACCGGAUAAUAUUUUGAACCGCAUGGUUCAAUAGUGAAAGACGGUCUUGCUGUCACUUAUAGAUGGAUCCGCGCUGCAUUAGCUAGUUGGUAAGGUAACGGCUUACCAAGGCAACGAUGCAUAGCCGACCUGAGAGGGUGAUCGGCCACACUGGAACUGAGACACGGUCCAGACUCCUACGGGAGGCAGCAGUAGGGAAUCUUCCGCAAUGGGCGAAAGCCUGACGGAGCAACGCCGCGUGAGUGAUGAAGGUCUUCGGAUCGUAAAACUCUGUUAUUAGGGAAGAACAUAUGUGUAAGUAACUGUGCACAUCUUGACGGUACCUAAUCAGAAAGCCACGGCUAACUACGUG